This 1245-nucleotide long non-coding RNA is filed under the name Homo sapiens (human). RNAcentral describes it as "HSALNT0253663". Lineage: Eukaryota; Metazoa; Chordata; Mammalia; Primates; Hominidae. The record is from RNAcentral.
ACCAAUAAACAGAGUUUAUGGCUGGGUUGAAGGACAGCUGCCCACUUCCGCUACCGGCCCACCUGCAACUCAUGUAAAAUAUUGAGCACUCCGGAAUUCCCUUUCUUUAUCAUGAAAACCAGCACAGGAAUCCUCAUUAUGGCCUGUGCUCAGCUCCAAACACUCACGCUCUGGGGAGCUGACAUUAUUAUCCCACUGUGCAGAUGGACAAACUGGGGUUUGCAGGGGUCGAGUGACUGGCUGAAAGCAACGCAGCUGGUGGCAGAAAAACUCGACUCACGCCCAGGCUUUUGUGGGUGUCCUUCCCUCCCCACAGCAGUGGAGUCCCUCAGCCACCCUUGGUGUGGGCAGUUGGCGGCUCCCAUCUCAGGAGGGGUCAGUGGUCACUCUUUCUGAAGGGGACAGCAGGUCACUUCAUUCCUCCUAAGCUUGGGGUAGGGCUGAAAGCAUGGGCUUCCUCCUGACCUAAGAGGGUUCAAACGUUGAGACUUUAUUAUUUUUAAAUCUCUAUAGAAGCAGAAAUGAUUUCUUCAUUAGAGAUAACCCUGUGCUGUGGGUAGAACUGUGCCCCUCCAUAAAGGUGUGUUGAGUCCUUACCCCACAGAUGUGAAGGUGACAGGAUUUGGGAACGGGGUUGUAGCUAGGUCAGGCUGGUCUACGGUGGACCCUGACCCCGAUGACUGAGGUUCUUAUAAGAGGAGAUGACUCAGAGUCACUGUCUCACCCUCCCCAUCCUUGGUAUUAUGACUGCUGCCCACUCCCAAGUCACUGAUUGUCAAAGAGGACAGACGGCCGAGGAGCCCCUGCUCAGAACAUGAGGUGACAGGGAGGCUCAGAGAGGACAGGGAGGCUCAGAGAGGAUGCCAUCUGCUCAUUGCGGCCUCUGCCCACACCUGCUCAGAACACGAGGAGACAGGGAGGCUCAGAGAGGAGGCCGUCUGCUCACUGUGGCCUCUGCCCACGCCUGCUCAGCACACGAGGCGAAAGGGAGGCUCAGAGAGGAGGCUACCUGCUCACCGCGGCCUCUGCCCACACCUGCUCAGAACGGGAGGAGACAGGGAGGCUCAGAGAAGACGCCGUCUGCUCGCCAUGGCCUCUGCCCACACCUGCUCAGAACACGAGGCGUCGCCCACUUCAGCCAGUGACCCGGCAGAAGGCACAUCCCUGAACCAGGCUCCAGUGGGUGCGACUGUGCCUGAGGAGUUGUCUGGGGCUUUUUGUGGCAGCAGCCCAGGGAUCAGGUGA